GGUUGUCGUCAGCUCGUGUCGUGAGAUGUUGGUUAAGUCCCGCAACCGAGCGCAACCCUUGUCUUCAGUUACCAUCAUUCAGUUGGGGACGUCUGGAGAGACUGCCGGUGACAAACCGGAGGAAGGUGGGGAUGACGUCAAAUCAUCAUGCCCCUUAUGACCUGGGCUACACACGUACUACAAUGGCGUAUACAACGGGAAGCGAAAUGGUGACAUGGAGCAAAUCUCACAAAGUACGUCUCAGUUCGGAUUGAAGUCUGCAACUCGACUUCAUGAAGUCGGAAUCGCUAGUAAUCGCGGAUCAGCAUGCCGCGGUGAAUACGUUCUCGGGCCUU
RNAcentral lists this ribosomal RNA (335 nucleotides) under uncultured Erysipelothrix sp. RNAcentral describes it as "bacterial SSU rRNA". It matches the Rfam family "Bacterial small subunit ribosomal RNA", at positions 1047 to 1382 of the family's 1533-position model. The record is from RNAcentral. Lineage: Bacteria; Bacillati; Bacillota; Erysipelotrichia; Erysipelotrichales; Erysipelotrichaceae.